UUAAGCGACUAAGCGUACACGGUGGAUGCCCUGGCAGUCAGAGGCGAUGAAGGACGUGCUAAUCUGCGAAAAGCGUCGGUAAGGUGAUAUGAACCGUUAUAACCGGCGAUGUCCGAAUGGGGAAACCCAGUGUGAUUCGUCACACUAUCGUUAACUGAAUACAUAGGUUAACGAGGCGAACCGGGGGAACUGAAACAUCUAAGUACCCCGAGGAAAAGAAAUCAACCGAGAUUCCCCCAGUAGCGGCGAGCGAACGGGGAGCAGCCCAGAGUCUGAAUCAGCUUGUGUGUUAGUGGAACGGUCUGGAAAGUCCGACGGUACAGGGUGAUAGUCCCGUACACCAAAAUGCACAGGCUGUGAACUCGAAGAGUAGGGCGGGACACGUGGUAUCCUGUCUGAAUAUGGGGGGACCAUCCUCCAAGGCUAAAUACUCCUGACUGACCGAUAGUGAACCAGUACCGUGAGGGAAAGGCGAAAAGAACCCCGGCGAGGGGAGUGAAAAAGAACCUGAAACCGUGUACGUACAAGCAGUGGGAGCACCUUCGGGUGUGACUGCGUACCUUUUGUAUAAUGGGUCAGCGACUUAUAUUCUGUAGCAAGGUUAACCGUAUAGGGGAGCCGCAGGGAAACCGAGUCUUAACUGGGCGUUAAGUUGCAGGGUAUAGACCCGAAACCCGGUGAUCUAGCCAUGGGCAGGUUGAAGGUUGGGUAACACUAACUGGAGGACCGAACCGACUAAUGUUGAAAAAUUAGCGGAUGACUUGUGGCUGGGGGUGAAAGGCCAAUCAAACCGGGAGAUAGCUGGUUCUCCCCGAAAGCUAUUUAGGUAGCGCCUCGUGAAUUCAUCUUCGGGGGUAGAGCACUGUUUCGGCUAGGGGGUCAUCCCGACUUACCAACCCGAUGCAAACUACGAAUACCGAAGAAUGUUAUCACGGGAGACACACGGCGGGUGCUAACGUCCGUCGUGAAGAGGGAAACAACCCAGACCGCCAGCUAAGGUCCCAAAGUCAUGGUUAAGUGGGAAACGAUGUGGGAAGGCACAGACAGCCAGGAUGUUGGCUUAGAAGCAGCCAUCAUUUAAAGAAAGCGUAAUAGCUCACUGGUCGAGUCGGCCUGCGCGGAAGAUGUAACGGGGCUAAACCAUGCACCGAAGCUGCGGCAGCGACACUAUGUGUUGUUGGGUAGGGGAGCGUUCUGUAAGCCUGCGAAGGUGACCUGUGAGGGUUGCUGGAGGUAUCAGAAGUGCGAAUGCUGACAUAAGUAACGAUAAAGCGGGUGAAAAGCCCGCUCGCCGGAAGACCAAGGGUUCCUGUCCAACGUUAAUCGGGGCAGGGUGAGUCGACCCCUAAGGCGAGGCCGAAAGGCGUAGUCGAUGGGAAACAGGUUAAUAUUCCUGUACUUGGUGUUACUGCGAAGGGGGGACGGAGAAGGCUAUGUUAGCCGGGCGACGGUUGUCCCGGUUUAAGCAUGUAGGCUGGUUGUCCAGGCAAAUCCGGAUAAUCAAGGCUGAGGUGUGAUGACGAGGCACUACGGUGCUGAAGUAACAAAUGCCCUGCUUCCAGGAAAAGCCUCUAAGCAUCAGGUAACAUUAAAUCGUACCCCAAACCGACACAGGUGGUCAGGUAGAGAAUACCAAGGCGCUUGAGAGAACUCGGGUGAAGGAACUAGGCAAAAUGGUGCCGUAACUUCGGGAGAAGGCACGCUGGUGUGUAGGUGAAGUCCCUGCGGAUGGAGCUGAGACCAGUCGAAGAUACCAGCUGGCUGCAACUGUUUAUUAAAAACACAGCACUGUGCAAACACGAAAGUGGACGUAUACGGUGUGACGCCUGCCCGGUGCCGGAAGGUUAAUUGAUGGGGUUAUCCGUAAGGAGAAGCUCUUGAUCGAAGCCCCGGUAAACGGCGGCCGUAACUAUAACGGUCCUAAGGUAGCGAAAUUCCUUGUCGGGUAAGUUCCGACCUGCACGAAUGGCGUAAUGAUGGCCAGGCUGUCUCCACCCGAGACUCAGUGAAAUUGAACUCGCUGUGAAGAUGCAGUGUACCCGCGGCAAGACGGAAAGACCCCGUGAACCUUUACUAUAGCUUGACACUGAACAUUGAGCCUUGAUGUGUAGGAUAGGUGGGAGGCUUUGAAGCGUGGACGCCAGUCUGCGUGGAGCCAACCUUGAAAUACCACCCUUUAAUGUUUGAUGUUCUAACGUUGGCCCCUGACCGGGGUUGCGGACAGUGUCUGGUGGGUAGUUUGACUGGGGCGGUCUCCUCCCAAAGCGUAACGGAGGAGCACGAAGGUUAGCUAAUCCUGGUCGGACAUCAGGAGGUUAGUGCAAUGGCAUAAGCUAGCUUGACUGCGAGCGUGACGGCGCGAGCAGGUGCGAAAGCAGGUCAUAGUGAUCCGGUGGUUCUGAAUGGAAGGGCCAUCGCUCAACGGAUAAAAGGUACUCCGGGGAUAACAGGCUGAUACCGCCCAAGAGUUCAUAUCGACGGCGGUGUUUGGCACCUCGAUGUCGGCUCAUCACAUCCUGGGGCUGAAGUAGGUCCCAAGGGUAUGGCUGUUCGCCAUUUAAAGUGGUACGCGAGCUGGGUUUAGAACGUCGUGAGACAGUUCGGUCCCUAUCUGCCGUGGGCGCUGGAGAAUUGAGGGGGGCUGCUCCUAGUACGAGAGGACCGGAGUGGACGCAUCACUGGUGUUCGGGUUGUCAUGCCAAUGGCACUGCCCGGUAGCUAAAUGCGGAAGAGAUAAGUGCUGAAAGCAUCUAAGCACGAAACUUGCCCCGAGAUGAGUUCUCCCUGAGACUUUAAGUCUCCUGAAGGAACGUUGAAGACGACGACGUUGAUAGGCCGGGUGUGUAAGCGCAGCGAUGCGUUGAGCUAACCGGUACUAAUGAACCGUGAGGCUUAACCUU
RNAcentral lists this ribosomal RNA (2900 nucleotides) under Klebsiella pneumoniae. RNAcentral describes it as "bacterial LSU rRNA". It matches the Rfam family "Bacterial large subunit ribosomal RNA". RNAcentral also lists the same sequence under 1 other name. The record is from RNAcentral. Lineage: Bacteria; Pseudomonadati; Pseudomonadota; Gammaproteobacteria; Enterobacterales; Enterobacteriaceae.